This is a long non-coding RNA of Canis lupus familiaris (dog), 3141 nucleotides long. RefSeq lists it as uncharacterized. Lineage: Eukaryota; Metazoa; Chordata; Mammalia; Carnivora; Canidae. The transcript is spliced from 4 exons. The record is from RefSeq and is a predicted model, not a curated record.
GAGACACCAGAGAACUCCCUCUCUGCCAGCAAAAAUAGGUCAUGUGAGCACAGUGAGAUGGGGACCACCUACAAGGCAGGAACACAGGCCUCACCAACCAUGCCAGCACCCUGAGCUUGGACUUCUAGCCUCCAGAACUAAGUCCACGGGUUGAGCAUCCAGGUCUGGUGUGGUGGUUCCACAGUCAUCACAGAUCCCAGCUUCCGUCUUCCAUCCUGAAGAUCUUCUCAUGGUCCGAGAUGGCUAAUGGAGAUUCAGCCAUCAUGUCCACAUUUCGGACAAGGGAAAGCCAGGACUUUACUUCUACCAUUACUAGAGUGCUCCUCACACCGUAGCACACUUCAUGCAUGGGCUCCUGCUUCUGUCCUCCCCACCCAGCUGCCAUCAUCCUAGACUAUGAGUUCCUUCAAUGCAGGAGUCCUGUUCUAUUUACCCCUAUAUCCAGAAGAGCAAAGCGACAAAAAAACAAAACAAAACAAGGCAGGGCAAGUUAAUGAAGCUGAGCAAAGGUCACUCAGCUGGUAAGUACAGCAGAUGCAGGCGGUCUGACUACACCGCCUUAACUGAACUAUCACAAUAAACCACCUUUUCCCCAAAUGGGCAGGUAUAGCAGGAAGGCUACAAAAUGUCAUGGUGUAGCACUACACAAACAACACCCCGAGGUCCCAGAGCAUGGCGGAGAGCAAAUGAAUGAAGUAAAAAGAGACAAGGAAGAGAAAUUUCAUUAUUGUGGCUGCAUGAUUUGGACAGCCAAAAAAGCUAAACACCAUCCUAUCACAGGCUGUGGGAACAGCAGAGGCAAAUAUAGUAGUGAGAGCAAGCUGCAAUGCUGUCAACGACUGCCAAAAGUCUCAUCCUCUAAAAAGUGAGCCUGUCAAAUACCUGAGCAACUUUGCUGACAGCUUCAACUCUCACUAGCCAGGAAACAACUGGUGGAAAUAGUAAGAGGAGCAGAUACUAUGAAUAAUAAGUAAAGAAACAUUGCUUGAACCAAGAGGAAUAUGUAAAGAUGACCUGGCAGAGAGAUGAACUGCGACUUAUUUUCCUGUAGGAUCAUCAGACUGAGAAUGAGAAAGAAUAAAGAAGCAGAGGUAUUUCUCCCUCACUCCUGAUUCUAUCCCAACCAGAACCUAUCACGUACUACAACUCCCAAUGUGACUUAGAUGCACCCUGAAAGGCCAAGAGUUAGCCACAGGGGUUCUGGAAAGCAGGGCCAAUGGAAGUGGGAGGCAGUAGGAAACACACAGCAGGCAGGAAGCAAAAUGCCAACUCCACACACCUAAACUCACACUCCAGGUGUCCCUCUCAUAAGCUGCAUGACUUUAACAUGUUACUUAACCUCUCAGUUUCACAUUUCCUCACCUGUAAAGUCAGAAUAGUACCACCUUCUUAGGGUAACAGUGAAAUGAGACAACGAUAAAAAGCACUGAGCUCAGGGCCUGGCACCCAGGGAGUAGCCAAUAAACGCCAGGUGUUAAUAUGGUAAUUAUUACCCUGUAAGAGAUUUCUCUGUAACUCAUCAACUUUUCUACAAUGAUUUGCUUAUUGUUACUCCCACACCAAGCUUCAGGGCAUAUAAUGCAAACCCGGACAGAAAAGUAAGUAAAGUGAUCCUGCCCUCAUUUUCAUAUCAAUGUUUCAGGGCAAUCCAACCAAACGACAUUUAGAAAGCCCUAGAAUGUCACUGUGCUAGGCUAGGCUGGAUGGGGCCCAAGAGGUGGUUUGAGUAUAAGGUAACUCUGCCUUCAAAAACUGCAUGGUUUCUUCCAAAAACACACUACCAGUAAUUUCUCAUGAGUUGUAGAGGUUAGGUUGCAAACCAGUUGGCAAUGACAAGUAAUCCCCAAAAGAGCUACAAAAACAUGUCUUUGGUGUUUGAGGAUGUCUUUGGAUUAACUGUCCAGUAAUCUUUAAGAAAUUGACUGACUGAGGAUUGUACUGGCAACAAGCAGUGGAUCUCAUAUGGCCUGGUCUUUAAAGCCAGUCAUUCUGGGUCAUACGACUGGGUCAAGCCAGUCAUUUCAUGCAUUAGGAUGAAAACAAAAGGAAAAGGAAAAAAAGGUAAAUGAAGUAUCUAAGCAUGCGAUACUAACAUGCAGAAGAUAGGGAUAAAUACAUGAGAGACUAUCUCGUUCACCUCUGUCAAGCAGUAUUAGGGGAAGGUCAAAUCAGAAGUGCAAGCCUGGCUUGAAAAUAAUGGAAAGAUUUUUUCCAAAGUGAAAAUAGUUUUGCUUUUUCUUAUUAUAAAGUAAAUAUAGGUUCAAUGCUAAAAAUAUAAAUAUUAACAUAUAUAAAAGUGCAAAAAAUAAAGAAAAUCACACAUGAAUCUCCCCAUCCAGAGAUCAAACCUUUAUAUGUUUCUCCUUGCAGACUUUUCUAAACAUAUACUUGCAUCAAUUACCUCUUUUUCAAAAAUGGAGUAAUAACACACAUGCUGUUUGAUCCUCUUUCUCCCAUGCUUCUAUGUAUCAUACUCAUCUUUCCACCCAACAUGGAACCUGAAAAUCAAAGUCAUAGGGCAGUUCUCCACAGGUAUACUCCCUGACACCGUAACAACAUGAAAAUGGGAAUGCAAGACAUAAAACUUGGCCUAGGAGACCAGAUUCCACAUACCCACUCCAGCUUGGACAAGUACAGUAUCUCAGCACAGGUGGCUGCCCAAGUGGGAAGGGCAGAGGUUUUGCUCAGGGAGCCUGCCUGGUUGUGGACCUCGGAUCUGCAGCACUUUGCACAUGCUGCAGCCUCUGCACUGCAUACCCGACUCUGAAAGCUCUGCUGCCCAACCUCAGAGCCUUUCAUGUAACUGCCAGCAGGAACGUGCAGAAGCCUUCAGUUCACAUGGAUCCUGCUGGGUGUACCUUUCUGCCCCUGUGCCCUAGACUCAGAGCUGCUGUGGGCUGCUCAUUAAAUCAUUUUGUUCACCUUAUUACCUUCCCACAGCACUAAUAUAACAGGAAUACGAAUCUGUAUCACUUCUCACAACUUUUAAAGAGUAUAAAAGUAGCUCUGCCAAGAGUGGCCCAAAGUUAAAUUUGAUGUUUCAUUUUGUUUAAGGAAUGUGGCAUAGGGGCACCUGGGUGGUUUCAGUCAGUUAAGCGUCUGCCUUUGGCUCAGUUCAUGAUCCCAAAGUUCUGGGAUCAA